CUGCAGUUCCUGGAAGGGUGGUCCUUGCUUUUGCUGCUUCUGCAUUCUCCUCUUCAGGAACUACACACUUCCAAAGACCAUAGGUUUUCCCUACUGUUGUCUGCCACAGCCUUAACGUACCAUCCUCUGAGCCACUGGCAUAUAACUCCCCGUCAGGGCUAAAUCUCACACAGUGAAUUGGACCAAAGUGCCCUUUGUAAGAUUCUAGUUCUUCUCCUGUGUUAUAGUCAUAUUUAUAGAGUUUAAAAUCUUCACCACCUG
This 261-nucleotide long non-coding RNA is filed under the name Gallus gallus (chicken). Lineage: Eukaryota; Metazoa; Chordata; Aves; Galliformes; Phasianidae. The record is from RNAcentral.